This 449-nucleotide long non-coding RNA is filed under the name Prunus dulcis (almond). RNAcentral describes it as "sRNA ncRNA". The record is from RNAcentral. Lineage: Eukaryota; Viridiplantae; Streptophyta; Magnoliopsida; Rosales; Rosaceae.
CUUUGAUAAGAAUUAUUUGGGGAUCUGCCAAUUUGGUGGUGCGGCAAGCAGUUGGGCCAAAGGUGCAGAGGCAUGGCGACAUGGAUCCGCUUCCGAUUAUUCUAGGUAGAGAUAUUGAAUACCAAUAGUAAUAUAUCUUCUGGUCAGGUCAAUAACUAGUUUAAAUGUGUUUAUGACAGGUACAUGGAUUGAUCUGAAGCAACAUUUGAUUGGAGGUGUAGUGGACAAUGGUUCGAGGCUGGGACGAAAUUCUUCAGAUUGAACUGGCUGAUGCUGUUGAAUCUGGGGUGGGUGCAUAAGGAUAUCAGAAUAUGGAUUGCACUUAAAUCGGAUUCUUGAAAGAAAGUGAGAGGGAGAGAAGAAUAAGAAGGAAAAAUAUGAGAGAGAGAGAGAGAGAGAGAGAGAAGAAGGAAAAGGAAAAAGAAAAAAAAAAAGAGAAAGAGAGAAGG